GAUGAACGCUAGCGAUAGGCUUAACACAUGCAAGUCGAGGGGCAGCACAAGGUAGCUUGCUAUCUGGGUGGCGACCGGCGCACGGGUGCGUAACGCGUAUGCAACUUGCCCUAUACAGGAGGAUAACCCGUCGAAAGACGGACUAAUACUGCGUAUGCUCACAACUUGGCAUCAAGUGGUGAGGAAAGAAAUUCGGUAUAGGAUAGGCAUGCGUCCCAUUAGCUUGUUGGUGAGGUAACGGCUCACCAAGGCAACGAUGGGUAGGGGAACUGAGAGGUUUAUCCCCCACACUGGUACUGAGACACGGACCAGACUCCUACGGGAGGCAGCAGUGAGGAAUAUUGGUCGAUGGGCGCGAGCCUGAACCAGCCAAGUCGCGUGAAGGAUGACUGUCUUAUGGAUUGUAAACUUCUUUUAUACGGGAAUAACAAGAGUCACGUGUGACUCCCUGCAUGUACCGUAUGAAUAAGCAUCGGCUAACUCCGUG
RNAcentral lists this ribosomal RNA (487 nucleotides) under uncultured bacterium. Its description in RNAcentral is "partial 16S ribosomal RNA". It matches the Rfam family "Bacterial small subunit ribosomal RNA", at positions 28 to 507 of the family's 1533-position model. The record is from RNAcentral.